AGAAAAGCUUAGACAUUCAUAGGAAUAAGACCUCCAGCUAUUUAUGGGUUGAUUACAAGCUCAGUAUGAUUCAAUUGAUGAUUAGAUAGUAGACAUCACCUGUUACGAUUGGAGCCCUGUGGCCAAGAGGACGCCUGUGAACUAUUUCACCUGAUUAGGCCACGCUGGGAUUUUUUGCUUGGGUGAGAGGUCGUGCUUCCCCAGGACACGGGCAGCAGCCUGGAGAGAGGAGUCUCAGAGGGUAACCCUGCUCUUCUCAAAUAUGGAAAGCUCCUAUGUGGAAGGGCAGUGAGUGGGAUUUAUCUUUUUCUGGGGAUUCCAGAUGGCAGAAAAUGGCAGAUUUUCCCAAUUCCACAUUUUGGAAGUAUCAAGAGCUGUUUCAUGAGAUAAGCUGGCGAGAGGAAAUAGACUACUCUGGUAGGAAACUAGAGCAGGUGGGCAGGAGUGACUUUCCUCUUCUCUUCCUGUUCCUCACACCCACCAGACCCGAGGUCCCCUGCCCGUCUGUUCUCUGCAGCCCCCACUGAAGCCUCAAAGUCCUUGCAAACGUUGCAAUAUCCUGCCUUCCUUCUUCCUUCCUAAAGGCUCCAGCUUUUCUGGGCCAUACCUUUCCAUCUCCGCUACCCCAUCCCCACCUCCUUUAUAAGGCUGUUCCACUCAGGGCUGCUGUUGGCCUUUCUUAGUUACCCCAGGGCCAGGUGACAGACAAAAGCCCCAGUCAAUACUCCAGACCCUGCUGAAAUUACUCAAACUAGCUCAUCCUAAGCCCCUUGUGGUAUGUCAUGCCUCCUGCUUCCAGGGAACUGUGAGCUUAAACUUCUUCCAUUAUGACAGUCAUUUCUGUGUCUGUGUCUGUUGUAAACAAAUCCUGGGUAUAAUUAAAAUACCAUGCAUCAAACUCCAAGAAAAACCAGGAUUCAUCCUCUUCUGUGCUUUUACUGAGCACUGGUCAGAUCCUACUUUGCACUUAGUUGGUAUGAUCUAAGCUUCUCUAUCUAUUUCUCCUGCUAAUCUGCCUGCAAGCCC
This 1026-nucleotide long non-coding RNA is filed under the name Homo sapiens (human). RNAcentral describes it as "HSALNT0340676". Lineage: Eukaryota; Metazoa; Chordata; Mammalia; Primates; Hominidae. The record is from RNAcentral.